UGGGCACUAUGUUUACAGUGACAAUACUGU
RNAcentral lists this non-coding RNA (30 nucleotides) under Rattus norvegicus (Norway rat). The record is from RNAcentral. Lineage: Eukaryota; Metazoa; Chordata; Mammalia; Rodentia; Muridae.